RNAcentral lists this ribosomal RNA (507 nucleotides) under uncultured bacterium. RNAcentral's name for it is "partial 16S ribosomal RNA". It matches the Rfam family "Bacterial small subunit ribosomal RNA", at positions 29 to 507 of the family's 1533-position model. The record is from RNAcentral.
ACGAACGCUGGCGGCGUGCCUAAUACAUGCAAGUCGAACGCUUCUUUCCUCCCGAGUGCUUGCACUCAAUUGGAAAGAGGAGUGGCGGACGGGUGAGUAACACGUGGGUAACCUGCCCAUCAGAGGGGGAUAACACUUGGAAACAGGUGCUAAUACCGCAUAACAGUUUAUGCCGCAUGGCAUAAGAGUGAAAGGCGCUUUCGGGUGUCGUUGAUGGAUGGACCCGCGGUGCAUUAGCUAGUUGGUGAGGUAACGGCUUACCAAGGCCACGAUGCAUAGCCGACCUGAGAGGGUGAUCGGCCACACUGGGACUGAGACACGGCCCAGACUCCUACGGGAGGCAGCAGUAGGGAAUCUUCGGCAAUGGACGAAAGUCUGACCGAGCAACGCCGCGUGAGUGAAGAAGGUUUUCGGAUCGUAAAACUCUGUUGUUAGAGAAGAACAAGGACGUUAGUAACUGAACGUCCCCUGACGGUAUCUAACCAGAAAGCCACGGCUAACUACGUG